AUACGUAGGGGGCGAGCGUUGUCCGGAAUUAUUGGGCGUAAAGGGUUCGUAGGCGGUUUUUUAAGUCAGAUGUGAAAGGUCACGGCUCAACCGUGGUAAGCAUUUGAAACUGAAAGACUUGAGUUAAGGAGAGGAAAGUGGAAUUCCUAGUGUAGCGGUGAAAUGCGUAGAUAUUAGGAGGAAUACCAGUGGCGAAGGCGACUUUCUGGACUUAUACUGACGCUGAGGAACGAAAGCGUGGGGAGC
This 246-nucleotide ribosomal RNA is filed under the name uncultured bacterium. RNAcentral's name for it is "partial 16S ribosomal RNA". It matches the Rfam family "Bacterial small subunit ribosomal RNA", at positions 523 to 769 of the family's 1533-position model. The record is from RNAcentral.